CCUACGGGAGGCAGCAGUGGGGAAUAUUGGGCAAUGGGCGCAAGCCUGACCCAGCAACGCCGCGUGAAGGAAGAAGGCUUUCGGGUUGUAAACUUCUUUUGUCAGGGAAGAGUAGCGUACGGUACCUGACGAAUCAGCCACGGCUAACUACGUGCCAGCAGCCGCGGUAAUACGUAGGUGGCAAGCGUUGUCCGGAUUUACUGGGUGUAAAGGGCGUGUAGCCGGGUUGACAAGUCAGAUGUGAAAUCCUGCGGCUUAACCGCAGAACUGCAUUUGAAACUGUUGAGCUUGAGUACUGGAGAGGCAGACGGAAUUCCUAGUGUAGCGGUGAAAUGCGUAGAUAUUAGGAGGAACACCAGUGGCGAAGGCGGUCUGCUGGACAGCAACUGACGGUGAGGCGCGAAAGCGUGGGGAGCAAACAGGAUUAGAUACCCUUGUAGUC
This 442-nucleotide ribosomal RNA is filed under the name uncultured bacterium. Its description in RNAcentral is "partial 16S ribosomal RNA". It matches the Rfam family "Bacterial small subunit ribosomal RNA", at positions 338 to 795 of the family's 1533-position model. The record is from RNAcentral.